GAUGAACGCUGGCGGCGUGCCUAAUACAUGCAAGUCGAGCGAACAGAUGAGGAGCUUGCUCCUCUGACGUUAGCGGCGGACGGGUGAGUAACACGUGGAUAACCUACCUAUAAGACUGGGAUAACUUCGGGAAACCGGAGCUAAUACCGGAUAAUAUAUUGAACCGCAUGGUUCAAUAGUGAAAGACGGUUAUGCUGUCACUUAUAGAUGGAUCCGCGCCGCAUUAGCUAGUUGGUAAGGUAACGGCUUACCAAGGCAACGAUGCGUAGCCGACCUGAGAGGGUGAUCGGCCACACUGGAACUGAGACACGGUCCAGACUCCUACGGGAGGCAGCAGUAGGGAAUCUUCCGCAAUGGGCGAAAGCUUGACGGAGCAACGCCGCGUGAGUGAUGAAGGUCUUCGGAUCGUAAAACUCUGUUAUUAGGGAAGAACAAAUGUGUAAGUAACUAUGCACGUCUUGACGGUACCUAAUCAGAAAGCCACGGCUAACUACGUG
This 497-nucleotide ribosomal RNA is filed under the name uncultured bacterium. RNAcentral's name for it is "partial 16S ribosomal RNA". It matches the Rfam family "Bacterial small subunit ribosomal RNA", at positions 28 to 507 of the family's 1533-position model. The record is from RNAcentral.